UAAGGAAUAUUGGUCAAUGGACGCAAGUCUGAACCAGCCAUGCCGCGUGAAGGAUGAAGGUCCUCUGGAUUGUAAACUUCUUUUAUCUGGGACGAAAACGGGAUUUUUAUCUCAAUUGACGGUACCAGAGGAAUAAGCACCGGCUAACUCCGUGCCAGCAGCCGCGGUAAUACGGAGGGUUCGAGCGUUAUCCGGAUUUACUGGGUUUAACGGGUGCGUAGGUGGGCUUAUAAGUCAGUGGUGAAAUCUCCGAGCUUAACUUGGAAACUGCCUUUGAUACUAUAGGUCUUGAAUUAUCUGGAGGUAAGCGGAAUAUGUCAUGUAGCGGUGAAAUGCUUAGAUAUGACAUAGAACACCAAUUGCGAAGGCAGCUUACUACAUAUAAAUUGACGCUGAGGCACGAAAGCGUGGGGAUCAAACA
This 421-nucleotide ribosomal RNA is filed under the name uncultured bacterium. RNAcentral's name for it is "bacterial SSU rRNA". It matches the Rfam family "Bacterial small subunit ribosomal RNA", at positions 355 to 774 of the family's 1533-position model. The record is from RNAcentral.